This 76-nucleotide transfer RNA is filed under the name Xylanimonas allomyrinae. RNAcentral describes it as "tRNA-Arg". It matches the Rfam family "tRNA". Rfam says of the family: Transfer RNA (tRNA) molecules are approximately 80 nucleotides in length. Their secondary structure includes four short double-helical elements and three loops (D, anti-codon, and T loops). RNAcentral also lists the same sequence under 1 other name. The record is from RNAcentral. Lineage: Bacteria; Bacillati; Actinomycetota; Actinomycetes; Micrococcales; Promicromonosporaceae.
GCGCCUGUAGCUCAGUGGAUAGAGCGUCUGCCUCCGGAGCAGAAGGUCGGGGGUUCGAGUCCCUUCAGGCGCACCG